RNAcentral lists this non-coding RNA (113 nucleotides) under pig gut metagenome. RNAcentral describes it as "THF riboswitch". It matches the Rfam family "THF (Tetrahydrofolate) riboswitch aptamer". From Rfam's summary of the family: THF riboswitch presents a pseudoknot that joins P1-P2 and the loop of P3 and two THF binding. The record is from RNAcentral.
CAGAGUAGAAGUCACGCGUAAAGUGCCAAUGGACGGGAAGUUGCUGUUGGACGAAGAGUUGACGUCAUAGAUCCUAUGACAAAAGAUUCGCGGUGUGCCUUCGCAUCCGCUGU